GACGAACGCUGGCGGCGUGCUUAACACAUGCAAGUCGAACGGAAAGGCCCUGCUUGCAGGGUACUCGAGUGGCGAACGGGUGAGUAACACGUGGGUGAUCUGCCCUGCAUUUCGGGAUAAGCCUGGGAAACUGGGUCUAAUACCGGAUAGGAGCCAUUUUUAGUGUGAUGGUUGGAAAGUUUUUUCGGUGUAGGAUGAGCUCGCGGCCUAUCAGCUUGUUGGUGGGGUAAUGGCCUACCAAGGCGGCGACGGGUAGCCGGCCUGGGAGGGUGGACGGCCACAUUGGGACUUAGAUACGGCCCAGACGCCUACGGGAGGCAGCAGGGGGGAAUAUUGCACAAUGGGCGCAAACCUGAUGCAGCGACGCCGCGGGGGGGAUGACGGCCUUCGGGUUGUAAACUCCUUUCGCUAGGGACGAAGCUUUUUGUGACGGUACCUAGAGAAGAAGCACCGGCUAACUACGUG
This 465-nucleotide ribosomal RNA is filed under the name uncultured bacterium. Its description in RNAcentral is "partial 16S ribosomal RNA". It matches the Rfam family "Bacterial small subunit ribosomal RNA", at positions 28 to 507 of the family's 1533-position model. The record is from RNAcentral.